This is a long non-coding RNA of Photinus pyralis (common eastern firefly), 764 nucleotides long. RefSeq lists it as uncharacterized. NCBI's taxonomy places the organism in Eukaryota, Metazoa, Arthropoda, Insecta, Coleoptera, Lampyridae. The transcript is spliced from 3 exons. The record is from RefSeq and is a predicted model, not a curated record.
UUAGGUUAUGUUUAUACACAGCUAAGUGUAAGAAAUACCAUAAAUGCUCUGCCUCAACUGGAUAUUUUAGGUUAAGAACUGUAACAUUUAAAUUUGUGUAAGAUGUCAUUUUUGGGGAAUUUUAUUUUACUGGGUUGGUUUACUGUAAUCUCAUUGGUGGUAUGCAUGGUAGACCGGAAAUUCGUUCACUUCGAUGUAAGCCGUAGAAGUAACAACUGUUGUUGGUGUUUACUGUCCUCGACCUCGUGUAAAAUCAAUUGUUCUGAAUUAUUCAGUGGUCAUCUACCAGUUGUACAUUGAUUGGAGGGAUUUAUACGUGAAAUAUCGUUAGGAGAAGUUUCUACCGACGUAUAUUUUUGAAGAACGUAUACCGUUUCGGGAUUUAAAGAGGAUUAGUUUGGCCAGUAGUUUGUGACUUUGCCCUUCGUUGUUAAGGGCUGUUUGGCUGGUGCCGGUGGUGUAUCGUUUGGCGUAUUGGGGUUACUUGCUGAUUGGAUUUGGUUACAUCUUCGUGGUAUCGUGUUACUUCUACGUGGGAUAACAUUCGACUUCUGUUAUUUGCUGUAAUUUUGGCGUGUUGAAGAAAUUCGUCGCUGUCAAAUAAACUGUCGCCAGACGCCAUCUAGUACGAGUUUGCCACAUGGAUGUAACGGGAAGCCUCGUCCACCGAGCUCGCUGGAUGGGAAUGGUAUUGUUGGUAAGCUUAUAUUAACCUAUGUUACUUUUAUGUGUAUAGGAUUUUACUUGGAUAGACUUUGGGUAGU